This 284-nucleotide long non-coding RNA is filed under the name Brassica napus (rape). RNAcentral describes it as "long non-coding RNA (BNAP_LNC026163)". The record is from RNAcentral. Lineage: Eukaryota; Viridiplantae; Streptophyta; Magnoliopsida; Brassicales; Brassicaceae.
GGUUGAUAACCAGCAAUUCCUUAUGAUCAAUAUCAUAAGUGACAGUAUGUUCCAGCACACAAACAUAUGAUCAGAUAUUCUAACACACGGAUCUGACCCCAAUAUGCCCUCAGGUGCAAUUUCGACCCCAAGCAAACCUGCUCCAAAAAUCAAUUAAAAUUCAUGAAAAUUCAUGAUAAAUCAUAACUAAGAGAAUGGUCCAAUCAGAUUUCCUAGAACCGGCCUCCAUCCCAUAGAUCGCGGCCAAGAUCAGCCAAACCGGCCCAAGGGACCAUCUCUAAAUC